Molecule: ribosomal RNA, 497 nt
Filed under: uncultured bacterium
Lineage: Bacteria
Description: partial 16S ribosomal RNA
Rfam family: Bacterial small subunit ribosomal RNA
Source: RNAcentral
GAUGAACGCUGGCGGCGUGCCUAAUACAUGCAAGUCGAGCGAACGGACGAGAAGCUUGCUUCUCUGAUGUUAGCGGCGGACGGGUGAGUAACACGUGGAUAACCUACCUAUAAGACUGGGAUAACUUCGGGAAACCGGAGCUAAUACCGGAUAAUAUUUUGAACCGCAUGGUUCAAAGGUGAAAGACGGUCUUGCUGUCACUUAUAGAUGGAUCCGCGCUGCAUUAGCUAGUUGGUAAGGUAACGGCUUACCAAGGCAACGAUGCAUAGCCGACCUGAGAGGGUGAUCGCCCACACUGGAACUGGAACACGGUCCAGACUCCUACGGGAGGCAGCAGUAGGGAAUCUUCCGCAAUGGGCGAAAGCCUGACGGAGCAACGCCGCGUGAGUGAUGAAGGUCUUCGGAUCGUAAAACUCUGUUAUUAGGGAAGAACAUAUGUGUAAGUAACUGUGCACAUCUUGACGGUACCUAAUCAGAAAGCCACGGCUAACUACGUG